GGUGUGGAUGAUCAAGAAUGCUCUAAGGUUGCUUGGUUUUCUCCUCCAUGCGCCUAGGGGUCCCUUUUAUAGCCCCAAGGCAGCUAGGAGCCGUUGAGAGCAAAUCUGGAAGGCCAAUCUUGCCUUCUGUCGUCGGGUGCACCAAACAGUCCGGUGCACACCGGACACUGUCCGGUGCCCGAUUUCCUUCCUUAAACGGCGCAGCCGACCGUUGCAGAUCUGGGAGCCGCUGGCGCACCGGACAUGUCCGGUGCACACCGGACAGUCCGGUGCCCCUUCCGACCGUUGGCUCGGCCACGUGUCCCGCGCAGAUCGCGCGGCCGACCGUUGGCUCACCGGACAGUCCGGUGCACACCGGACAGUCCGGUGAAUUAUAGCCGUACGCCGUCGGUGAAUUCCCGAGAGCGGCCACUUCACGCCGAGUCAGCCUGGCGCACCGGACACUGUCCGGUGCACCACCGGACAGUCCGGUGUGCCAGACUGGGCUGAGUCUUGGCUGUACACAGCCAAGCUUUUUUCAUCUCUUUUCUUUUCUUCUUCUUUCUGUUUCUAACACUUAGACAAGUAUAUUAGUAUAAAAAACCAAUGUACCAAGGCUUAGAAACAUACCUUUACUCUUGAUUUGCACUUUGUUCACCCAUGAGCAUAAAUUCACAUUUAAGCACUUGUGUUGGCACUCAAUCACCAAAAUACUUAGAAAUGGCUCAAGGGCACAUUUCCCUUUCAAUCUCCCCCUUUUUGGUGAUUUAUGCCAACACAACAUAAAGCAACUAGAACAAGUGCAAAAUCACUUCAAAUAAAACUCAAAUUUAUUUUGAUUCAAUUUUGGCAUAUAUGGAUCAUCCUUUGCCACCACUUGGUUUGUUUUUGCAAAUCAAACUCAACUUUCUAUCUCUAAGUCAAACACACAUGUUAAGACAUAAAGAGAGGUAUUUCAAAGAAGUUUGAUCAAGAAUUUCAAAAACUCCCCCUUUUUCCCAUAAUCAAUACUUCUCCCCACAAGAAGCCAACUUUUGACAAAAGAGACAAUAAAAGAGUUUUUGACAAACCAAAAGCUCUACUCUACUAUUUUCAAAUCUCUCAAGUGGUAGCUGAUCCAUUUAUUGCUUUGGCCUUUAUUUUCUCCCCCUUUGGCAUCAAGCACCAAAACGGGAUCAAUCUUGGCCCUUUAACCCCAUUGCCUCACCAAAAUCUUCAAUUAAGAUCAAAUGGCAAUAAGAGUUCAUGAGAUGAACUUGGAAUAAGUUACCCUCUCAUCGGAGUGCAGUGGAAGUCUUUCAUGAUCCAAGUCCACCUUUUCCCUUUCAAUUCUCCUUCGAGACUAAAUCAAGCAUAACUCAAGCAUAUGAUUAGUCUCAAAGGGUCAAGUUGUAACACAACUCCCCCUAAAUAUGUGCAUCACUUACACAGGGACUUGUGAGGUCCAGGGAAUGUUUGUACAACUUGAGCACCACAAUAAGCAACAAAAUGCAGAAUGAACAUGAUCAAGGGCAUAAACACAUGUAUGCUACAAUUCAAUCCAAGUUCCGCGAAUCUAAGACAUUUAGCUCACUACGCAGCCUGCAAAAGGUCUUCUCAUCUAGAGGAUUGGUAAAGAUAUCGGCUAGCUGGUUCUCGGUGCUAACAUGAAACACUUUGAUAUCUCCCUUUUGCUGGUGGUCUCUCAAAAAGUGAUGUCGGAUGUCUAUGUGCUUUGUGCGGCUGUGCUCAACAGGAUUUUCCGCCAUGCGGAUAGCACUCUCAUUAUCACAUAGGAGUGGGACUUUGCUCAGAUUGUAGCCAAAGUCCCUGAGGGUUUGCCUCAUCCAAAGUAGUUGCGCGCAACACUGUCCUGCGGCAACAUACUCGGCCUCAGCGGUGGAUAGGGCAACGGAGGUUUGUUUCUUAGAGUUCCAUGACACCAGGGACCUUCCUAAGAAUUGGCACGUCCCCGAUGUACUCUUCCUAUCGACCUUACAUCCAGCAUAGUCGGAAUCUGAAUAUCCAAUUAAGUCAAAGGUAGACCCCUUUGGAUACCAGAGCCCGAAGCAAGGCGUAGCAACUAAAUAUCUAAGGAUUCGCUUCACCGCCACUAAGUGACAUUCCUUAGGAUCAGAUUGAAAUCUAGCACACAUGCAUACGCUAAGCAUAAUAUCCGGUCUACUAGCACAUAAAUAAAGUAAAGACCCUAUCAUUGACCGGUAUGCUUUUUGAUCAACGGACUUACCUCCUUUGUUGAGGUCGGUGUGUCCGUCGGUUCCCAUUGGAGUCUUUGUGGGCUUGGCGUCCUUCAUCCCAAACCGCUUUAGCAGGUCUUGCGUGUACUUCGUUUGAGAGAUGAAGGUGCCGUCCUUGAGUUGCUUCACUUGGAACCCAAGGAAGUAGUUCAACUCGCCCAUCAUUGACAUCUCGAAUUUCUGCGUCAUCACCCUGCUAAACUCUUCACAAGACUUUUUAUUAGUAGAACCAAAUAUUAUGUCAUCGACAUAAAUUUGGCACACAAAAAGAUCACCGUCACAAGUCUUAGUGAAAAGAGUUGGAUCGGCUUUCCCAACAUUGAAAGCAUUAGCAAUUAAGAAAUCUCUAAGGCAUUCAUACCAUGCUCUUGGGGCUUGCUUAAGUCCAUAGAGCGCCUUAGAGAGCUUACACACAUGGUCGGGGUACCGUUCAUCCUCGAAGCCAGGGGGUUGCUCUACGUACACCUCCUCCUUGAUUGGCCCGUUGAGGAAAGCGCUCUUCACAUCCAUUUGGAACAACCUGAAAGAAUGGUGAGCGGCAUAUGCUAGCAAGAUGCGAAUGGACUCUAGCCUAGCCACAGGAGCAAACGUCUCCUCAAAGUCCAAACCUGCGACUUGGGCAUAACCUUUUGCCACAAGUCGAGCCUUGUUCCUUGUCACCACUCCGUGCUCGUCCUGUUUGUUGCGGAACACCCACUUGGUUCCCACAACGUUUUGCUUGGGACGAGGCACCAGUGUCCAAACUUCAUUGCGCUUGAAGUUGUUGAGCUCCUUUUGCAUGGCCAACACCCAGUCCGGAUCUAGCAAGGCCUCUUCUACCCUGAAAGGCUCAAUAGAAGAGACAAAGGAGUAAUGUUCACAAAAAUUAACUAAUCGAGACCGAGUAGUUACUCCCUUGCUAAUGUCACCCAGAAUUUGGUCGACGGGAUGAUCCCUUUGAAUCAUCGCUCGAACUUGGGUUGGAGGUGCCGGUUCCGCUUCUUCCUCCAUCACAUGAUCAUCUUGUGCUCCCCCUUGAUCACACGCCUCCUGUUGAUGAACCUGUUCAUCGUCUUGAGUUGGGGGAUGCACCAUAGUUGAGGAAGAAGGUUGAUCUUGUUCAUCAUGUUCCUGUGGCUGCACUUCUCCAAUCGCUAUGGUUCGUAUAGCGGCCGUCGGAACAUCUUCUUCAUCAUCACAAUCAACGACUUGCUCUCUUGGAGAGCCAUUAGUCUCAUCAAAUACAACGUCGCUAGAGACUUCAACCAAACCCGAUGAUUUGUUGAAGACUCUAUACGCCUUUGUAUUUGAGUCAUAACCUAACAAAAACCCUUCUACAGCUUUGGGAGCAAACUUAGAAUUUCUACCCUUCUUCACUAGAAUGUAGCAUUUACUCCCAAAAACACGAAAGUACGAUACAUUGGGUUUGUUACCGGUUAGUAGCUCAUACGACGUCUUCUUGAGGAGACGAUGAAGGUAGACCCUGUUGAUGGCGUGGCAAGCCGUGUUCACAGCUUCCGACCAAAAGCACUCGGGGGUCUUGAACUCUCCUAGCAUCGUCCUUGCCAUAUCAAUGAGCGUCCUGUUCUUCCUCUCUACCACACCAUUUUGUUGUGGUGUGUAGGGAGCAGAGAACUCGUGCUUGAUCCCUUCUUCCUCAAGGAACUCUUCCACUUGAAGGUUCUUGAAUUCGGACCCGUUGUCGCUCCUUAUCUUCUUCACCUUGAGCUCAAACUCAUUUUGAGCUCUCCUUAGGAAGCGCUUGAGGGUCCCUUGAGUUUCAGACUUAUCCUGCAAAAAGAACACCCAAGUGAAGCGGGAAAAAUCAUCAACAAUAACUAGACCAUACUUACUUCCCCCUAUGCUUAGAUAGGCGACGGGUCCGAAGAGAUCCAUAUGCAGCAGCUCCAGGGGCCUUGAUGUGGUCAUCACAUUCUUGCUGUGAUGUGCUCCUCCCACCUGUUUACCUGCUUGACAUGCUGCACAAGGUCUAUCUUUUUCGAAUUGCACGUUAGUUAAACCUAUCACAUGUUCUCCCUUUAGAAGCUUGUGAAGGUUCUUCAUCCCCACAUGUGCUAAGCGGCGAUGCCACAGCCAGCCCAUGCUAGUCUUAUCGAUUAAGCAUGCAUCUAGACCGGCCUCUUCUUUUGCAAAAUCAACUAAAUAAAGUUUGUCGUCUAAUACACCCUUAAAAGCUAGUGAACCAUCACUUCUUCUAAAGACAGACACAUCUACAUUUGUAAAUAGACAGUUAUACCCCAUAUUGCAUAAUUGACUAACCGAUAGCAAAUUAUAUCCAAGAGACUCUACUAAAAACACAUUAGAGAUAGAGUGCUCAUUAGAAAUUGCAAUUUUACCUAACCCUUUUACCUUGCCUUGAUUCCCAUCACCGAAUAUAAUUGAAUCUUGGGAAUCCUUAUUCUUGACGUAGGAGGUGAACAUCUUCUUCUCCCCCGUCAUAUGGUUUGUGCAUCCACUGUCGAUAAUCCAGCUUGAACCCCCGGAUGCAUAAACCUGCAAGGCAAAUUUAGGCUUGGGACUUAGGUACCCAACUCUUGUUGGGUCCUACAAGGUUAGUCACAAUUAUCUUAGGGACCCAAAUGCAAGUUUUAUCUCCCUUGCAUUUUGCCCCUAAUUUCCUAGCAACUAUUUUUCUAUCCUUUCUACAAAUAGCAAAGGAAGCAUUUAAAGCACAAUAAAUUGUAGAAGGUUCAUUCACUACUUUCCUAGGAGCAUGAAUAAUAUUCUUUCUAGGCACAUGAUGAAUAGCAUUUCUCCUAGACAUAUUUCUACCAUGCAUAUAGGAAGAACUAGAAGCAAACAUGGCAUGAGAGUCAAAAUCAUCAUAAGCAUUAUAAUUCCUAUAGGCAUUUCUAGUUUGUCUCUUAUCAUGGUACAUAAACGCAUGGUUCUUUUGCAGACUACUAGCCAUAGGGGCCUUCCCUUUCUCCUUGGCGGGAAUGGGAGCCUUAUGGCUCGUUAAGUUCUUGGCUUCUCUCUUGAAGCCAAGUCCAUCCUUAAUUGAGGGGUGUCUACCAAUCGUGUAGGCAUCCCUUGCAAAUUUUAGCUUAUCAAAAUCACUUUUGCUAGUCUCAAGUUGAGCAUUAAGACUAGCUACCUCUUCAUUUAAUUUAGAAAUGCAAGCUAGGUGUUCACUAUAAGCAUCAAUGUUAAUAUCUUUACACCUAGUGCACGUUACAACAUUUUCUACACAAGAGAUAGAUUUACUAGCAAUCUCUAACUUGGCAUUCAAAUCAUCAUUAAUGCUCCUUAAUUUAGAAAUUGUCUCAUGGCAAGAAGAUAAUUCACAAGAAAGCAUUUCAUUUCUUUUAACUUCUAGAGCAUGAGAUCUUUGUGCUUCUACAAAUUUAUCAUGUUCUUCAUACAACAAAUCCUCUUGCUUUUCUAAAAGCAUAUUCUUAUCAUUCAAGGCAUCAAUUAAUUCAUUAAUUUUGUCUACCUUGGUUCUAUCUAGGCCCUUAAACAAACAUGAGUAAUCUACUUCAUCCUCAUCACUAGAUUCGUCCUCACUUGAAGAAGCAUAGGUAGAGUUUCGAGUACAUACCUUCUUCUCCCUUGCCAUAAGGCAUGUGUGACGCUCGUUGGGGAAGAGGGUUGAUUUGUUGAAGGCGGUGGCGGCGAGUCCUUCAUUGUCGGAGUCGGAAGAGGAGCAGUCCGAGUCCCACUCCUUGCCUAGAUGCGCCUCGCCCUUUGCCUUCUUAUAGUUCUUCUUCUUCUCCCUCUUGUUGCCUUGAUCCUGAUCACUAUCAUUGUCGGGACAGUUAGCAAUAAAAUGACCAAGCUUACCACAUUUGAAGCAUGAGCGCUUCCCCUUUGUCUUGGUCUUGCUUGGCUGCCCUUUGCGGCCUUUUAGUGCCGUCUUGAAUCUCUUGAUGAUGAGAGCCAUCUCUUCAUCAUUAAGUCCGGCUGCCUCAAUUUGUGCCACCUUGCUAGGUAGCAUCUCCUUGCUCCUUGUUGCCUUGAGAGCAAGAGGUUGAGGCUCAUUGAUUGGACCGUUUAGAGCGUCGUCGACGUAUCUCGCCUCCUUGAUCAUCAUCCGCCCGCUUACGAAUUUUCCGAGUACCUCUUCGGGCGUCAUCAUCGUGUACCUGGGAUUCUCACGAAUAUUGUUUACGAGAUGAGGAUCAAGAACGGUAAAGGACCUUAGCAUUAGGCGGACGACGUCGUGGUCCGUCCAUUGCGUGCUUCCAUAGCUCCUUAUUUUGUUGAUAAGGGUCUUGAGCCGGUUGUAAGUUUGGGUUGGCUCCUCUCCCCUUAUCAUUGCGAAUCGUCCAAGCUCGCCCUCCACCAACUCCAUUUUAGUGAGCAUGGUGAUGUCGUUCCCCUCGUGAGAGAUCUUGAUGGUGUCCCAUAUCUGCUUGGCGUUGUCCAAGCCGCUCACCUUAUUGUACUCUUCCCUGCACAAAGAUGCUAAUAGAACAGUAGUAGCUUGUGCAUUUCUAUGGAUUUGUUCAUUUAUAAGCAUAGGGCUAUCCGAGCUAUCAAAUUUCAUUCCAUUCUCUACAAUCUCCCAUAUGCUUGGAUGGAGAGAGAAUAAGUGACUACGCAUUUUGUGACUCCAAAAUCCGUAGUCCUCCCCAUCGAAGUGUGGAGGUUUGCCAAGAGGAAUGGAAAGCAAAUGCGAAUUCGAACUAUGUGGAAUACGAGAAUAAUCAAAUGAAAAGUUCGAAUUGACCGUCUUCCUGUAGUCGUUGUCGUCGUCCUUUUGGGAAGAAGUAGACUCAUCGCUAUCGUCGUAGUAGACGAUCUCCUUGAUGCGCCUUGUCUUCUUCUUCUUCCCAUCUUUUCGCUUGUGGCCCGAGCCCGAGUCAGUAGGCUUGUCAUCCUUCGGCUCGUUGACGAAGGACUCCUUCUCCUUGUCGUUGAUCACGAUUCCCUUCCCCUUAGGAUCCAUCUCUUCGGGCGAUUAGUCCCUUCUUGAAGAGAACGGCUCUGAUACCAAUUGAGAGCACCUAGAGGGGGGGUGAAUAGGUGAUCCUGUGAAACUUAAACUUAUAGCCACAAAAACUUGUUAAGUGUUAGCACAAUAGUUGCCAAGUGGCUAGAGAUGAGUCCAAACACAAUAACCACACGAAAUCAAACACAGAGAUGGCACGGUGUUUUAUCCCGUGGUUCGGCCAAGUACAAAACUUGCCUACUCCAUGUUGUGGCGUCCCAACGGACGAGAGUUGCACUCAACUCCUCUCAAGUGAUCCAAUGAUCAACUUGAAUACCACGGUGUUCUUCUUUACUUUGAUCUUUUCCCGUUUGCGAGGAAUCUCCACAACUUGGAGUCUCUCGCCCUUACAAUUGAAUUUCACAAAGAAGUACGGAGUAAGGGAGAGAAGCAACACACACAAAUCCACAGCAAAAUGCGCACACACACGACCAAGAAUCGAGCUCAAAAGACUAUCUCAAAGUUCUCACUAGAACGGAGCUCGAAUUACUGAGAAUGACAAAUGAAUGCGCAAAGACUGAGUGUGGAUGAUCAAGAAUGCUCUAAGGUUGCUUGGUUUUCUCCUCCAUGCGCCUAGGGGUCCCUUUUAUAGCCCCAAGGCAGCUAGGAGCCGUUGAGAGCAAAUCUGGAAGGCCAAUCUUGCCUUCUGUCGUCGGGUGCACCGGACAGUCCGGUGCACACCGGACACUGUCCGGUGCCCGAUUUCCUUCCUUAAACGGCGCAGCCGACCGUU
RNAcentral lists this long non-coding RNA (7885 nucleotides) under Zea mays. RNAcentral's name for it is "long non-coding RNA (ZMAY_LNC001768)". Lineage: Eukaryota; Viridiplantae; Streptophyta; Magnoliopsida; Poales; Poaceae. The record is from RNAcentral.